Molecule: long non-coding RNA, 382 nt
Filed under: Lathyrus oleraceus (garden pea)
Lineage: Eukaryota; Viridiplantae; Streptophyta; Magnoliopsida; Fabales; Fabaceae
Description: Pisum sativum (pea) long non-coding RNA (PSAT_LNC024282)
Source: RNAcentral
AACAACCUCUGACCCUAAUCAACUAUAUCACCACAGCUCUUCAUCAUCCUCUGAGUAUGAAUCACCCCCUUACCUUUCCCCUUCUUCUAACCAAGAGUCCUCUGAUCAUGAGUCCUCUGAUCAAGAACACUCUGACCCAAACUCCCCAACAAUAGCUGAAAUUUAUGCUAAAAAUUUCGCCCCACAAACUCAAACACAAACUGAAGUAACCUCUCCCCUCCGAACUUCUCUUCCACAACAAACAACCACCAUCUCCUCUGAAAAUCAAACCUCACUUCCACCACAAACAACCACCACACCCUCUGAAACCCAACCACCUGUGAUUCAACCAUCUGAACCUUAUAUCACUCCACCACUUAUUCCCGCUGUACCUGGACCAGAC